RNAcentral lists this ribosomal RNA (249 nucleotides) under uncultured bacterium. Its description in RNAcentral is "partial small subunit ribosomal RNA". It matches the Rfam family "Bacterial small subunit ribosomal RNA", at positions 26 to 290 of the family's 1533-position model. The record is from RNAcentral.
AGGACGAACGCUGGCGGCGUGCUUAACACCAUGCAAGUCGAGCGAACCUUCGGGUUAGCGGCGAACGGGUGAGUAACACGUGGGCAACCUGCCCCGAGCUCUGGGAUAACCCCGGGAAACCGGGGCUAAUACCGGAUAUGACACCGACAGACAUCUGUCGGUGUGGAAAGUUUUUCGGCUCGGGAUGGGCCCGCGGCCUAUCAGCUUGUUGGUGGGGUAACGCCUACCAAGGCGACGACGGGUAGCCGG